Molecule: ribosomal RNA, 480 nt
Filed under: uncultured bacterium
Lineage: Bacteria
Description: partial 16S ribosomal RNA
Rfam family: Bacterial small subunit ribosomal RNA
Source: RNAcentral
GAUGAACGCUGGCGGCGUGCUUAACACAUGCAAGUCGAGCGAUGAAGUUUCCUUCGGGAAACGGAUUAGCGGCGGACGGGUGAGUAACACGUGGGUAACCUGCCUCAUAGAGUGGAAUAGCCUUCCGAAAGGAAGAUUAAUACCGCAUAAUGUUGAAAGAUGGCAUCAUCAUUCAACCAAAGGAGCAAUCCGCUAUGAGAUGGACCCGCGGCGCAGUAGCUAGUUGGUGGGGUAACGGCCUACCAAGGCGACGAUGCGUAGCCGACCUGAGAGGGUGAUCGGCCACAUUGGGACUGAGACCCGGCCCAGACUCCUACGGGAGGCAGCAGUGGGGAAUAUUGCACAAUGGGGGAAACCCUGAUGCAGCAACGCCGCGUGAGUGAUGAAGGUUUUCGGAUCGUAAAGCUCUGUCUUUGGGGAAGAUAAUGACGGUACCCAAGGAGGAAGCCACGGCUAACUACGUGCCAGCCGCCGCCGUAA